CCUAAAAUGCCAAAGAAGUCCACUUUGAAAUCUGCACAGAAAGCUCCUCUUUCUUCUUCUCCUUGUUGCGGCAGAGUUGGUUUAGAGGGCUGUUUGGAUGGUUUUCUGAUGUAGGAAGGGAAUUAGGAUGGUAUGGGGGUGCGGCAAGGUGUGUGGGUGGUGUAUGGAGGUGUAUAAUGGUGGCUGGAAUGAAAGGAGAGUUGCGGCAAGGUGUAUGGAUGUGGCUGGAAUGAAUGGUGGCUGCGGCAAGGUGGGGGAAGGGAUUUUUUGCGAUUUCUGAUUUUUAGAAUGGGGUCUCUCUGCGGCUAGGGUGUAGAAAAUAUAUAUAUAGGCACUUAAAAACCCUAGCAAUUCAGAUUAGAACAAUGGGCUAGGGUUAAGGUUUGUAAAAUAGGGCUUUUUGGAUGGAAAGGUGCGGCAUAGGCUUAGGGAUUUCCAAUCAGAUUUUUGCAUGUGAACAAGGCCUAGGUGCGGCUGAAACAAUGGGCUAGGGUUAGGGUUUAGGUACGGCAUAGGUCCAAGAGUUAAGGAUGGGUCAUCCAAAAGCCCAAAACCGAGAAUAGAAACUCACGAAAAUGGAAACCUCCAAGAAUAGAAACUUCCAACUUUAGAAACUUUGGUUGCCAAUUCCGAUUUAGGAAAGAUCAACCCAAAAUGGAAACUUUUAGGCUUAGCUUUCCUACUUCAAGUAGGAAACCUCAAAUCUUCAACUCUUCAAUUUCAUCCCAACCUUGCGUUCCAAGCAUGUCCUUUUCACUUCAAGCUCACUUUCUGCUCCAAAAGCUCCAAAUUGCAUCAUUUCAUGUAAUACGUCCGCUAAACCUGAAAACACAAGAAAGUAGCUUAAAAGACUACUUUAACGAAGAAAACAUAACAAAGAUGCAUAAGAACUAGCUAACUAAGGCGCAUAAAUAUGCUCCUAUCAAAUUCCCCCACACUUAGCUUUUGCUAGUCCUCGAGCAAAACAAACAAAAGAAAGGAAACAGAACGAAACCAACUAACCAAAACAAAACCUAAACCUUCCAACGUUUGCCUCAGGGAUUUCCAAUGCACACGACAUGUUAAAGAUUGUUAUCCCCACAAAUUUGAGUCAUCUUUACACAAGCACAUACUUAAUUAAAGCCACCACUUACUAAUUCACAAGUAAUCAAUCAAAACAAUGCUUUGAAUGUAGUAACAUGCCUUAGAGAAUUCCCUCAAUUCCUUACAAGAUAUACACUCUAUUUUCACUCAGAUUUUCUAACUCCACACCCUACACUAGUCAUAUGUGAGAAGAUUGAUGUAGAAAUGAAAACGAAUGCUCACAUAUAUGUAUCACAAAGAACGCAAUUUCUAGAGUUAAGAAGCAUGUUUAGAUAUGAUCUCAUGAAUAGAAUGCUACUACUUAGAUGCGAGAACCAGUGACACCAUAUGCUCAUAACAAAUUCAAACUCCACAAAUUGAAACACAUAACAUUCAAGAUAGAAGUUAAGGGUUGUAAUGGGGCUUGGGGUGUUGGUUAACAAGGAAAGGAUAAGGAAAACAAACGUUCUUCAAGCAAUAGUAAGCAAAGCAAUGAAAUUGAGACUUAGAAUUCACUUAGAGUGCAGAAAUUAACUUUAAAACACAAGGGAAAGAUUUAAACAACUCCUUAGGGCCGAAUUCAUUGUUUUGGACCCUUACUUCAACAAACAAUACUUUGGAACUCUUUUUCUCAACUUUUCUUCAUUUUUUUUUUUCUUUUUCCACAAUUUUUUUUCUUUUCUUUUCUUUGCCGUGCCUAUGGCACACACUUCCUCAUGAAAAACACUUCCCCCACACUUAUUUUCUGCCAACAUAAAUCAAAAGGGAAUUCAAUUUGAAUCAUGCUUUACUAUGCUUUAAGAACAAGGUAUGGAUGGUCCUAAUCUAGGCUAGGUGAGGAGAACAUGGGUUAACAAUUAACGAAGGCUAACAAGGCUCAAUGGGGUUAAAAACCUACAAAACAUAAUGACAUAGGGGAUUCAUGGCUUUUUGGCUAGGGUGGUGGUCACUACACAACUUCAUCUUGAAUAUGUGUUAUGCAAAUCAAUAACAUGCUUGAAUGAAUGAAAUGGGCAUGAGUUCUAGCAUUUGGAACUAAAUGAUGAAACGCCUUCUAAGUAGCAACCAAGCAAAGAAUAAUGAGAUCAUGCAACGACUUAGAAAACAAAGAAUGCACAGAUUUUCACUCUCCAAAUAAACGUUAGGCUCAAGUCUCACAAGGUUGUAGCGUUAGUUUAAGUUCCUUCCUUCAAACAUGUUACAAAAACUGAUUUUUUUUCUUUUAUGAUUGCAUGUGAAUUCAUAAGUUAUAACCACAACUAAGCAUAAACAAAGAGUAAAUCAAACUUUCAUCCAUGUUAGUCACUUUCUUUAACAGCCAUGUAAUUACAAAAACCGAAUCCUCAUCAUUGUGUUGGAAGGUACCCUAAAACACAAACAAACACACAAAAACAACUCUUUUUGGGUUUUUAAAACAAAUUUUUCAAAUUUUAUGUAAUUUUCGGAUUUUUACUUCAAAACACACUAAAACACAUCAAAAUUGCUCAAAAACACUUAAAAACAGCAAGGAACAAGUCUUCAAGUUUAGGGUGAUAAAAUCCCACGAAUUUGCAUCUAAAACACUUAGUUACCCCCCCACACUUAAAUCAAACAUUGUCCUCAAUGUUUCAAGCAUGAAAUCACACUAAACAAAAAGAAACACACAAACAGCAACUAAAACAACUAAAUAGGCAGAUUCAAACUAAAUAACAAAGGGAAGAGUUUAGGAACGCAAAUCUGGAAUUGGAGUGAUUCCAUGGGUUUCCUUUGUUGAAUUGCAUGGGCUGCCUCCCAAGUAGCGCUUUCUUUUACGUCUUGCAGCCGGACGAAGCUCCUUUGAAGGUUAUUGAACCCCACGGCAUGGAGGGGUGUUUCCUCUACACCUUGUCCUUCGAACCACUUCAUGCAUUGGGUCCUUGAAUGGAAUGGGAUAAUGAUCCUUUCGUAGUGUCGUGUUGUGCUUCUCUAAAUCAACACGAACUCUCCCACCAUAUUGACUUUGAUUAGGUACCUGCACCGUACAAGGUAACAACCGAUUAAUUGAAAUGGGAAUUGAAAUUGGAUCAGGUGGCUUACCUAGGUGCGGCAUAGGAGUGGGAGUACAAUGGACAGAUGCACAAAGGUUGCACUCGGCCAAAUUUGGUGAUUUCAAGGUUGAGGCCGUGCAUUCUUUGUUGCUCACUCCAAUUCCCUCCGCGAUGGUAGUUCGAGGUGCAUUCUUCUUGACUAGUGUUGAACAUGCCUGCCCUAUAUUUUCAAUUACAUUAAUGGCACAACAAGAACGAACAUCAUUAGUAUUCUCAAUUGAUUCAGGAAUCUUAAAGUUAAUCAUAUCACCACCAAAGGCCAUAGUUACGGCUCCCUUGGCCACAUCAAUCUUGGUUUGAGCCGUUUUCAUGAAUGGUCGUCCAAGCAAGAGUGGUGAUGGUGGAGAGUGGGUUGAGUCCUCCAUAUCAAGCACAUAGAAAUCUGCAGGAAAAAUCAAAUGGUGGUCUACCUGCACCAAAACAUCUUCCAACACUCCCUUGGGAUAUGCAUUAGAUCGAUCGGCUAAUUGAAUUAUAACGCCAUCAUUUUUAAGUUUUCCUAGAUUCAUAGAUACAUAAACAGAAUAUGGCAUGACAUUAAUUGAUGCACCUAGAUCUAGCAUAGCAUGUUCAAAUCUUGUAUUACCAAUUACACAAGGGAUUGUGAAACUACCUGGAUCUUUGCAUUUAGGUGGUAGCUUCCUUUGCAACAUUGCAGAGACAUUCUCGCUUACAUGUACCACCUCCUUCUCCCGAAUCCGCUUCCUCGUUGUACAAAGCUUCUUCAAGAACUUGGCAUACUUCGGGAUUUGCUUGAUUGCAUCCAAAAGAGGUAUGUUAACUUGAACUUUCCUAAAUGUCUCUAGAACAUCUUUUUCCUCCUCUUCAUUCUUGGAUUGCAAAAAUCUGCUAGGAAAGGGCACAUUGGGUGGAAUAAUGUUAGAAUUAACCGAACUUGGACCUUUCUUACCUAGGGUGGACGGAUUGGAGGACUUAGGAUCAAUGGUUGCUUGCGGCAAAGGUUGCUCCACCUUUGCCGUGGGUUGCUUUGGGUUCUCCUCCCCAGAUUUCAACGUUUCAUCUUCUUUGGGACCUGAUUUUGGUGGUGUAGGACCUGCCCCAACUUCUUUUCCACUCCUUAGCAUGAUUGCAUUUGCGGUUUCAAAGCCUCCCUUUGGAUUUGGAAUGGUGGAACUAGGGAGUUGUCCAGGAUCUCGAAACUUACCUACAAACUCGGCAAUCUGCCCAAUUUGUUUUUCAAGUUGAUCCACCCUUCUGUCUUGGUUUUGCAUAGCUUUAGCUUGAUCUUCCUGCCCAUUAGACAACUUAGUUAGUAUCUUAAGAAGUGCAUCAUUGUCAAGAGACGUACCUGAGGCACUUGGGCCGGAUUGGGCUUGAUUUUGGGGUGGACCGUAGGUUUUGGGAAAGAACCCCGAGGGUUGUUGCCUAAAGCCUCCUUGGUUCUGAGGUUGCUGGGGCUCCCUCCAUUUGAAGUUUGGAUGGUCUCGCCACCCCGGAUUAUACGUGUUUGAAUAUGGAUCGUUCCUUGGUUGGUUUUGCCCUUGAAACCCAAUUGCAUGGGCGCUUUCCCAUCCACCAUUUUCAAUCAACUGUGGACAUUUUUCAGAGACAUGUCCUUGGAUGGAACAUACGCCACAUACAAUUGGUCCUUGCAUCUUCAUGCCCUCGGCCAUCUGAGACACAAGAGAAGUAAGAUUAGCCAAUUGUGAGUGAAGAUCGGAAGUUGUACUUACCUCAUGUACUUGGUGCCGUGGGGGUCCUCUUUGGCCUACACCCUCGUACUGUUGAGCGUUCAAUGCUCUAUUAGCAAUCAAGACCUUGGCAGCCAUGGGUGUCUUGUCCACCAAUGCUCCCCCCGCCGAAGCAUCAAGCAUUUGACGUUCUAGAGGUAGGAGACCCUCGUAGAAGUAUUGCAACAGUAACUCCUCCUUCAUCUGAUGCUGCGGACAAGAAGCAACAAGUGAUUUAAAUCGUUCAUAAUAUGUAGGAAAAGACUCACCUUCUUCUUGCUGAAUUCCGCUUAUCUUUUUGCGGAGGAGGAUGAUGCGAGAAGUUGGAAAGAACUUCUCCAAGAACGCUCUCUUCAUACUUUCCCACGAUUGUGACAGUUCCGGGAGCUAACUCAUAUAACCAAUCCUUGGCUUUAUCCAUCAAAGAGAAUGGAAAAGCCUUCAUCUUCAAAAUAUUUCCGUCAACAUUGACGGGAGUCAUACUAGAGCAAACUACUUCAAAUUCUUUUCAAAUGUUUGUUAGGAUCUUCCAUGGACAAGCCAUGGUAUUUAGGAAUAUGAUGAAGUAAACUUGACUUUAAUUCAAAACUCAUCUGUCUUACCUUGGGCAGCCACGGGGUAUUGGAUGCACAAGGGUGCGGCAUUAUCCAAACCCGAGGCGGAAAGCUCCUUGAGUGUACGAUUGUCCAUGGCCAUGCCUUGGACUUCUUCAAAUAUCCCUGCCGUGGCUUCCUCCUCCUCUUCUUGUACGUUUUCUUCAAGGUCAGAUUCGGAACUGGGUGGAUGGUGUUCUUGCUGGUUUCUAGCUCUUCUUAACUUCCUCUCAAAAUCGUCGUCAAACUCCAAGAUGUUCGCACGAAUCGUUUGAGAGCUUCUAGUCAUACAUUAGUACCUAAGAAACAAGAAACAAAAUUAGGUCAGAACUUAAACAAAAUCAGAAACAAAGUGAAAUAAAAGAAACAAAAACAAUCCAAGGGAUUAGCAAAAUUUGCUAAUCCCCGGCAACGGCGCCAAAAAUUUGAUGCGAAAUAUAUUAAGCACACAAAUUAAACCCUCUUUUUGUCAAAUUGUAGCAAAGAUGUAAGUAGGGAUCGUUCUAAACCGGGGAUUAGGAGGGAUUGCUAAACACUUGGAAACUGACUUAAAAACUCAAAAACAACGUUUAAACCACUAAACUAGACCCAAAGAAUGCAAAAGUAAAGGUUAAAACACUUAAACAAACCUAAAACUCAAAACAGCAACUAGAAGGCUCAAAACUGCCUAAAAACCACUUUCUGGGCAGUUUUGAGCACCUACACUAAUUUGGACGAAAUUUGAUGAAAACUUGAAUCAAAAUACUUAGAAACACAAAUCAAAACACUUUCUAACUAAUCUAGGACUUCAAAUUAAAGGGGGAUUUGUUUUGGACGAAAAUUUAACACAAAACAGAAACUUGAAACUAAACAGAUUGUAAAAACGAUUUUGGUGAAAUAGAUGGAUAAAAGGCUAGUUAGGAGGUUCUUCUCCACACAUGUCACACUUGCAAACAAAACGAUUUUCAGUUGUUCUUCCAAUAAACUAUGAAUACUCAACGCCCCAAGUUAACCGUGAAUUGCACUAAUUAACCCUCAGUUUCUCCAGAAUUUAUCAAGUUGGAUGAUUGCAUACGACAACUCAAAACAUUCCCUACAAGUUCCCUACAUGAAUUGCAUAAUAGAGAUACAAGCAAGAAUCAUUACGUUCUAUGAAAAACAUAAGCAUUGACGAAGCAUUUGUUACUAUGAAUUGCAUGAAACUUAUGCUAAGAAUUCAUUCAACGCGAUCGUUUUCAAGCGAUCUUCACUACUUGUGAUUAUAAGAUUGUAACUAUUAGGUGAAACUCCCUCAUAAUCUAGCAUCAUAUUCAUGCAUGAAAGUUAAGCGUGCACUCUCAAUCAACAUACACAAAUAAGUUAUCAAUCAAAUAGAUGAACGAAUUGAAUCCAUAACUCAUGAAAUAACAACUGAAUGUAAUCGAAUCAAAUUGCAAGCAUGUACAUGGUUUCGAAUCACCCCCCAACUAAGGGGGUUUAGUUCCUCAUACUCACAACACAAAGUUUAUUGAAUUGAAACAUCAAAGACAUAAGAAAGAUUACACCUAAAAUGCCAAAGAAGUCCACUUUGAAAUCUGCACAGAAAGCUCCUCUUUCUUCUUCUCCUUGUUGCGGCAGAGUUGGUUUAGAGGCUGUUUGGAUGGUUUUCUGAUGUAGGAAGGGAAUUAGGAUGGUAUGGGGUGCGGCAAGGUGUGUGGGUGGUGUAUGGAGGUGUAUAAUGGUGGCUGGAAUGAAGGAGAGUUGCGGCAAGGUGUAUGGAUGUGGCUGGAAUGAAUGGUGGCUGCGGCAAGGUGGGGGAAGGGAUUUUUUGCGAUUUCUGAUUUUUAGAAUGGGGUCUCUCUGCGGCUAGGGUGUAGAAAUAUAUAUAUAGGCACUUAAAAACCCUAGCAAUUCAGAUUAGAACAAUGGGCUAGGGUUAAGGUUUGUAAAAUAG
This 7324-nucleotide long non-coding RNA is filed under the name Malus domestica (apple). RNAcentral's name for it is "long non-coding RNA (MDOM_LNC018813)". The record is from RNAcentral. Lineage: Eukaryota; Viridiplantae; Streptophyta; Magnoliopsida; Rosales; Rosaceae.